GGCCCCAUCGUCUAGUGGUCAAGGACACCGCCCUUUCAAGGCGGAGAUCGCGGGUUCGAAUCCCGCUGGGGUCACCA
RNAcentral lists this transfer RNA (77 nucleotides) under Chloroflexota bacterium. RNAcentral's name for it is "tRNA-Glu". It matches the Rfam family "tRNA". Rfam says of the family: Transfer RNA (tRNA) molecules are approximately 80 nucleotides in length. Lineage: Bacteria; Bacillati; Chloroflexota. The record is from RNAcentral.